Molecule: ribosomal RNA, 253 nt
Filed under: uncultured bacterium
Lineage: Bacteria
Description: partial 16S ribosomal RNA
Rfam family: Bacterial small subunit ribosomal RNA
Source: RNAcentral
UACGUAGGGUGCGAACGUUGUCCGGAAUUACUGGGCGUAAAGAGCUCGUAGGUGGUUUGUCGCGUUGUUCGUGAAAACUCACAGCUCAACUGUGGGCGUGCGGGCGAUACGGGCAGACUGGAGUACUGCAGGGGAGACUGGAAUUCCUGGUGUAGCGGUGGAAUGCGCAGAUAUCAGGAGGAACACCGGUGGCGAAGGCGGGUCUCUGGGCAGUAACUGACGCUGAGGAGCGAAAGCGUGGGGAGCGAACAGG